RNAcentral lists this ribosomal RNA (468 nucleotides) under uncultured bacterium. RNAcentral's name for it is "partial 16S ribosomal RNA". It matches the Rfam family "Bacterial small subunit ribosomal RNA", at positions 28 to 507 of the family's 1533-position model. The record is from RNAcentral.
GACGAACGCUGGCGGCGUGCUUAACACAUGCAAGUCGAACGGAAAGGCCCUGCUCUUGUGGCGUGCUCGAGUGGCGAACGGGUGAGUAACACGUGAGUAACCUGCCCUUGACUGUGGGAUAACUCCAGGAAACUGGGGCUAAUACCGGAUAGGAGCUCCUGCUGCAUGGUGGGGGUUGGAAAGUUUCGGCGGUUGGGGAUGGACUCGCGGCUUAUCAGCUUGUUGGUGGGGUAGUGGCUUACCAAGGCUUUGACGGGUAGCCGGCCUGAGAGGGUGACCGGCCACAUUGGGACUGAGAUACGGCCCAGACUCCUACGGGAGGCAGCAGUGGGGAAUAUUGCACAAUGGGCGGAAGCCUGAUGCAGCAACGCCGCGUGCGGGAUGACGGCCUUCGGGUUGUAAACCGCUUUCGCCUGUGACGAAGCGUGAGUGACGGUAAUGGGUAAAGAAGCACCGGCUAACUACGUG